Molecule: unclassified non-coding RNA, 345 nt
Filed under: soil metagenome
Description: partial contains 5.8S ribosomal RNA, internal transcribed spacer 2, and large subunit ribosomal RNA
Rfam family: 5.8S ribosomal RNA (bases 1-120)
Source: RNAcentral
GAUGAAGAACGCAGCGAAAUGCGAUACGUAAUGUGAAUUGUAGAAUUCAGUGAAUCAUCGAGUCUUUGAACGCACAUUGCGCCCCCUGGUAUUCCGGGGGGCAUGCCUGUCCGAGCGUCAUUGCUGCCCUCAAGCACGGCUUGUGUGUUGGGCCUCCGUCCUCCUCCCGGGGGACGGGCCCGAAAGGCAGCGGCGGCACCGCGUCCGGUCCUCGAGCGUAUGGGGCUUCGUCACCCGCUCUUGUAGGCCCGGCCGGCGCUUGCCGACACAUCAAUCUUUUUUCCAGGUUGACCUCGGAUCAGGUAGGGAUACCCGCUGAACUUAAGCAUAUCAAUAAGCGGAGGA